CUCUGGUGGCUGGGGAGAGGAGGAGGGAGAGGAGGAUCUCUGGUGGCUGGGGAAAGGAGGAGGGAGAGGAGGAACUCUGGUUGCUGGGGAGAGGAGGAGGGAGAGGAGGAACUCUGGUGGCUGGGGAGAGGAGGAGGGAGAGGAGGAACUCUGGUGGCUGGGGAGAAGAGGAGGAGGAGGAUCUCUGGUUGCUGGGGAGAGGAGGAAGAGGAGGAGGAGGAACUUUGGUGGCUGGGGAGAGGAGGAGGGAGAGGAGGAACUCUGGUGGCUGGGGAGAAGAGGAGGAGGAGGAACUCUGGUGGCUGGGGAGAGGAGGAGGAGGAGGAACUCUGGUGGUUGGGGAGAAGAGGAGGAGGAGGAACUCUGGUGGCUGGGAAGAGGAGGAGGAGGAACUCUGGUGGUUGGGGAGAAGAAGAAAUAGAAAGAGUUUGGGGAAUGGAGGAAAGGAGAGAAAGAGGCAGAGGAGAUACUGGGACACGGCAUGCAGAAGGACACAAAGAAUCACAUCUGUCUCCACACUGUCCUCCUUCCCUCUGUGGGAGACCGAGGAGAGAGGGGGGGACAGGAAUGUGGUAAACAACUCUACUUUGUUGAUGUUUACCGGAUGUUUCUGUCACGAGUGUCAGACUGACAAGAACCACACCAAGGAGUCUGAGACGAAAGACCUGGUGGCCUUCACCAACCGACCUGAGACAGCCUGUUAGAGGUCUGUGCUGUAUCAGAAGUCUGGGCCCAUAUUCAUAAAGACUCUCAGUAGGAGUGGUCAUCUGGGAUCAGGUCCUAAAGAGUCCCAGUAGGAGUGGUGAUCUAGGAUCAGGUCCUAAAGAGUCUCAGUAGGAGUGGUCAUCUGGGAUCAGGUCCUAAAGAGUCUCAGUAGGAGUGGUCAUCUGGGAUCAGGUCAUAGUCUCAGUAGGAGUGGUGAUCUAGGAUCAGGUCAUAUAGAGUCUGAGAGUGUUGAUCUGGGAUCAGGUCCUAAAGAGUCCCAGUAGGAGUGUUGAUCUAGGAUCAGGUCAUAAAGAGAUUCAGUAGGAGUAUUGAUCUAGGAUCAGGUCAUAAAGAGUGAGAGUAGGAGUGGUGAUCAUAAUGAAUAACAUUACAUGGACCUGGGGGACCUGAUCCUAGAUCAUAAUGACCUGGGAGACCUGAUCCUAGAUCAUAAUGACCUGGGGGACCUGAUCCUAGAUCAGCUCUCCUACUGUGAAUACCAGAACCAGGUCUUACCUGUCAGAGGUCAGAGGUCUUCAUCCUCUCGGAUGUUGUGGUUUCUUCCUACUGUAGCUUUUCCCAACUUCAACUGUUUCAAUAAAUGCCGGACAACAAAAUGUAAAAUGUGUUUCACUGAAUAGCAGUUUUUUUUUAAGUGUCAUGCAAAGCAUUUUCAGGAAAGUUAUUUGUUGUUUUGCAUGGUCAAGCCCAAAUUAUGUUUUCGUUUCUGUCUUUGGGAUGUCAUGUAAAUAUUAUAAAACUAAAAUCUGCUUGGAUUUUGCGUAAAGUUAAAGUAUAUGUUGUUUGAUAAAUAAAUAAUGUUGGUAUAAUGA
This is a long non-coding RNA of Oncorhynchus tshawytscha (Chinook salmon), 1538 nucleotides long. The record is from Ensembl. NCBI's taxonomy places the organism in Eukaryota, Metazoa, Chordata, Actinopteri, Salmoniformes, Salmonidae.